RNAcentral lists this ribosomal RNA (497 nucleotides) under uncultured bacterium. Its description in RNAcentral is "partial 16S ribosomal RNA". It matches the Rfam family "Bacterial small subunit ribosomal RNA", at positions 28 to 507 of the family's 1533-position model. The record is from RNAcentral.
GAUGAACGCUGGCGGCGUGCCUAAUACAUGCAAGUCGAGCGAACAGACGAGGAGCUUGCUCCUCUGACGUUAGCGGCGGACGGGUGAGUAACACGUGGAUAACCUACCUAUAAGACUGGGAUAACUUCGGGAAACCGGAGCUAAUACCGGAUAACAUGUUGAACCGCAUGGUUCAACAGUGAAAGACGGUCUUGCUGUCACUUAUAGAUGGAUCCGCGCCGCAUUAGCUAGUUGGUAAGGUAACGGCUUACCAAGGCAACGAUGCGUAGCCGACCUGAGAGGGUGAUCGGCCACACUGGAACUGAGACACGGUCCAGACUCCUACGGGAGGCAGCAGUAGGGAAUCUUCCGCAAUGGGCGAAAGCCUGACGGAGCAACGCCGCGUGAGUGAUGAAGGUCUUCGGAUCGUAAAACUCUGUUAUUAGGGAAGAACAAAUGCGUAAGUAACUAUGCACGUCUUGACGGUACCUAAUCAGAAAGCCACGGCUAACUACGUG